GAUGAACGCUGGCGGCGUGCCUAAUACAUGCAAGUCGAGCGAACGGACGAGAAGCUUGCUUCUCUGAUGUUAGCGGCGGACGGGUGAGUAACACGUGGAUAACCUACCUAUAAGACUGGGAUAACUUCGGGAAACCGUAGCUAAUACCGGAUAAUAUUUUGAACCGCAUGGUUCAACAGUGAAAGACGGUCUUGCUGUCACUUAUAGAUGGAUCCGCGCUGCAUUAGCUAGUUGGUAAGGUAACGGCUUACCAAGGCAACGAUGCAUAGCCGACCUGAGAGGGUGAUCGGCCACACUGGAACUGAGACACGGUCCAGACUCCUACGGGAGGCAGCAGUAGGGAAUCUUGCGCAAUGGGCGAAAGCCUGACGGAGCAACGCCGCGUGAGUGAUGAAGGUCUUCGGAUCGUAAAACUCUGUUAGUAGGGAAGAACAGAUGUGUAAGUAACUGUGCACAUCUUGACGGUACCUAAUCAGAGAGCCACGGCUAACUACGUG
This 497-nucleotide ribosomal RNA is filed under the name uncultured bacterium. RNAcentral's name for it is "partial 16S ribosomal RNA". It matches the Rfam family "Bacterial small subunit ribosomal RNA", at positions 28 to 507 of the family's 1533-position model. The record is from RNAcentral.